Molecule: ribosomal RNA, 449 nt
Filed under: uncultured bacterium
Lineage: Bacteria
Description: partial 16S ribosomal RNA
Rfam family: Bacterial small subunit ribosomal RNA
Source: RNAcentral
AACGAACGCUGGCGGCAGGCUUAGCACAUGCAAGUCGAACGAGAUCUUCGGAUCUAGUGCCAGACGGGUGAGGAACACGUGGGAACAUCCCCUUCAGGUCGGAAUAACGUUGGGAAACUAACGCUAAUACCGGAUACGUCCUUCGGGAGAAGGAUUGAUCGCUGAAAGAUUGGCCCGCGUCUGAUUAGCUAGAUGGUGAGGUAACGGCUCACCAAGGCUACGAUCAGUAGCUGAUUUGAGAGGAUGAUCAGCCACACUGGGACUGAGACACGGCCCAAACUCCUACGGGAGGCAGCAGUGGGGAAGAUUGGACAAUGGGCGCAAGCCUGAUCCAGCCAUGCCGCGUGAGUGAUGACGGCCUUCGGGUUGUAAAGCUCUUUGGUCCGGGAAGAUAAUGACUGUACCGGAAGAAUAAGCCCCGGCAAACUUCGUGCCAGCAGCCGCCGUAA